AGGACUGUCCAACCUGAGAGUGUGUCCCCGCGGUCAGUCUCAGGUUCGUCAGCCCGAG
RNAcentral lists this microRNA precursor (58 nucleotides) under Canis lupus familiaris (dog). RNAcentral describes it as "Cfa-Mir-1388_pre stem-loop". The record is from RNAcentral. Lineage: Eukaryota; Metazoa; Chordata; Mammalia; Carnivora; Canidae.